This 408-nucleotide ribosomal RNA is filed under the name Vibrio harveyi. RNAcentral's name for it is "bacterial LSU rRNA". It matches the Rfam family "Bacterial large subunit ribosomal RNA", at positions 26 to 484 of the family's 2925-position model. The record is from RNAcentral. Lineage: Bacteria; Pseudomonadati; Pseudomonadota; Gammaproteobacteria; Vibrionales; Vibrionaceae.
GGAUGCCUUGGCAGUCAGAGGCGAUGAAGGACGUAUUAACUUGCGAUAAGCCCAGAUUAGGUAGUAAAAACCAUUUGAGUCUGGGAUUUCCGAAUGGGGAAACCCACUAGCAUAAGCUAGUAUCGCUGCGUGAAUACAUAGCGCAGCGAGGCGAACCGGGGGAACUGAAACAUCUAAGUACCCCGAGGAAAAGAAAUCAACCGAGAUUCCGAAAGUAGCGGCGAGCGAAAUUGGACUAGCCCUUAAGCUUUUUAUGCGUCAGGUGAAACUUCUGGAAAGUUGUGCGAUACAGGGUGAUAGCCCCGUAACCGGCAACGCAUUUAAAGUGAAAUCGAGUAGGGCGGGACACGUGAUAUCCUGUCUGAAUAUGGGGGGACCAUCCUCCAAGGCUAAAUACUACUGACUGAC